Molecule: ribosomal RNA, 518 nt
Filed under: uncultured bacterium
Lineage: Bacteria
Description: partial 16S ribosomal RNA
Rfam family: Bacterial small subunit ribosomal RNA
Source: RNAcentral
AACGAACGCUGGCGGCGUGCCUAACACUUGCAAGUCGAACGGGGGUAAGUAGCUUGCUAUUUAUUCUAGUGGCGCACGGGUGAGUAACGCGUAGAUAAUCUGCCUUAGACUCUGGGAUAACAUCUCGAAAGGGGUGCUAAUACCGGAUAAGCCCACGAGGACGCGAGUCUUUGCGGGAAAAGGGGGCCUCUGCAUAUGCCCUUGAUCUAAGAUGAGUCUGAGUACCAUUAGCUAGUUGGUAGGGUAAUGGCCGACCAAGGCGACGAUGGUUAGCUGGGCUGAGAGGAUGAUCAGCCACACUGGAACUGAGACACGGUCCAGACUCCUACGGGAGGCAGCAGUGGGGAAUUUUGCGCAAUGGGGGAAACCCUGACGCAGCAACGCCGCGUGAGUGAUGAAGGCUUUCGGGUCGUAAAGCUCUGUCUAGAGGGAAGAAGUGAUUUUUGGUUAAUACCCAGAUUUCUUGACGGUACCUCUGAAGGAAGCACCGGCUAACUCCGUGCCAGCAGCCGCCGUAA